This 389-nucleotide ribosomal RNA is filed under the name uncultured bacterium. Its description in RNAcentral is "bacterial SSU rRNA". It matches the Rfam family "Bacterial small subunit ribosomal RNA", at positions 28 to 416 of the family's 1533-position model. The record is from RNAcentral.
GACGAACGCUGGCGGCGUGCUUAACACAUGCAAGUCGAGCGGUAAGGCCCUUUCGGGGGGUACACGAGCGGCGAACGGGUGAGUAACACGUGGGUGACCUGCCCUCAGCUCUGGGAUAAGCCUGGGAAACCGGGUCUAAUACUGGAUAUGACUCCAUGACGCAUGUUGUGGGGUGGAAAGCCUUGUGCGGCUGAGGAUGGGCCCGCGGCCUAUCAGCUUGUUGGUGGGGGUGAUGGCCUACCAAGGCGACGACGGGUAGCCGGCCUGAGAGGGCGACCGGCCACACUGGGGCUGAGACACGGCCCAGACUCCUACGGGAGGCAGCAGUGGGGAAUCUUGCGCAAUGGGCGAAAGCCUGACGCAGCGACGCCGCGUGAGGGAUGACGGCC